AAUCUUGCGCAAUGGGCGAAAGCCUGACGCAGCGACCCCGCGUGAGCGAUGAAUGCCUGCGGGUUGUAAAGCUCCGUGGAGAGGGACGGUAAAGGGCUGGCGAAUACCCAGCCUCAUUACGGUACCUCCUUAGCAAGCACCGGCUAAACCUGUGCGAGCAGCCGCGGUAAGACAGAGGGUGCAAACGUUAUUCGGAAUUACUGGGCGUAAAGCGCGUGUAGGCGGCUAUGCAAGUCGGAUGUGAAAUCCCGCGGCUCAACCGUGGAAGUGCAUCCGAAACUGCGUGGCUAGAGUCCCGGAGAGGAAGGUGGAAUACUUGGUGUAGAGGUGAAAUUCGUAGAUAUCAAGUGGAACACCGGUGGCGAAGGCGGCCUUCUGGACGGUGACUGACGCUGAGACGCGAAAGCGUGGGUAGCAAACA
RNAcentral lists this ribosomal RNA (421 nucleotides) under uncultured bacterium. RNAcentral's name for it is "partial 16S ribosomal RNA". It matches the Rfam family "Bacterial small subunit ribosomal RNA", at positions 360 to 774 of the family's 1533-position model. The record is from RNAcentral.